CCCAGCUGUAGACAACCGUCUAGGUUGCCUUGUAUCUAGGUAAAAGUUACACUGCUGGGAGAAAAGCAGCCAGUAGCUGGCAGGCACUAUGGGCCUGGUUAGUGCCAACUCU
Molecule: small nucleolar RNA, 112 nt
Organism: Ochotona princeps (American pika)
Lineage: Eukaryota; Metazoa; Chordata; Mammalia; Lagomorpha; Ochotonidae
Gene: SNORA74
Rfam family: Small nucleolar RNA SNORA74
About the family: U19 belongs to the H/ACA class of snoRNAs. snoRNAs bind a number of proteins (including dyskerin, Gar1p and Nop10p in the case of the H/ACA class) to form snoRNP complexes. This class are thought to guide the sites of modification of uridines to pseudouridines by forming direct base pairing interactions with substrate RNAs.
Source: Ensembl